GUGAGAUGUUGGGUUAAGUCCCGCAACGAGCGCAACCCCUACGUUAGUUGCUAACGCGUGAAGGCGAGCACUCUAGACGAACUGCCGUUGACAAAACGGAGGAAGGUGGGAUGACGUCAAAUCAUCAUGCCCUUAUGUUCUGGGCUACACACGUGCUACAAUGGCCGGUACAGACGGACGCAAAGCCGCGAGGUGGAGCAAAUCCUAAAAAGCCGGUCUCAGUUCGGAUUGCAGGCUGCAAUUCGCCUGCAUGAAGUCGGAAUCGCUAGUAAUCGCAGGUCAGCAUACUGCGGUGAAUACGUUCCCGGGCCUU
This 313-nucleotide ribosomal RNA is filed under the name uncultured Pelotomaculum sp. RNAcentral's name for it is "bacterial SSU rRNA". It matches the Rfam family "Bacterial small subunit ribosomal RNA", at positions 1067 to 1382 of the family's 1533-position model. Lineage: Bacteria; Bacillati; Bacillota; Clostridia; Eubacteriales; Desulfotomaculaceae. The record is from RNAcentral.